RNAcentral lists this ribosomal RNA (468 nucleotides) under uncultured bacterium. RNAcentral describes it as "partial 16S ribosomal RNA". It matches the Rfam family "Bacterial small subunit ribosomal RNA", at positions 28 to 507 of the family's 1533-position model. The record is from RNAcentral.
GACGAGCGCUGGCGGCGUGCUUAACACAUGCAAGUCGAACGGAAAGGCCCUGCUUUUGUGGGGUGCUCGAGUGGCGAACGGGUGAGUAACACGUGAGUAACCUGCCCUUGACUUUGGGAUAACUUCAGGAAACUGGGGCUAAUACCGGAUAGGAGCUCCUGCUGCAUGGUGGGGGUUGGAAAGUUUCGGCGGUUGGGGAUGGACUCGCGGCUUAUCAGCUUGUUGGUGGGGUAGUGGCUUACCAAGGCUUUGACGGGUAGCCGGCCUGAGAGGGUGACCGGCCACAUUGGGACUGAGAUACGGCCCAGACUCCUACGGGAGGCAGCAGUGGGGAAUAUUGCACAAUGGGCGGAAGCCUGAUGCAGCAACGCCGCGUGCGGGGUGACGGCCUUCGGGUUGUAAACCGCUUUCGCCUGUGACGAAGCGUGAGUGACGGUAAUGGGUAAAGAAGCACCGGCUAACUACGUG